UAAGUUUGUAGACAUUCACAAAUACGUCUCUGAAAUGCUUUCUCCAUCCUAUGCUGAGCAAAUUCGGAAAAUGAUAUUAGAUAAUACUACUUUUCUUCCAGAAUAUUAUAUGAACAGGUGGAGUCAGCUUAGAGAUCAUGGAACUAGCCAUUUCUGCAUUGUUGAUGCAGAGAGAAAUGCUGUAUCUAUGACAACUACCAUAAAUUAUGGUUUUGGAGCUGGAAUGCUCUCUCCUUCUACUGGUAUUGUGCUAAAUGAUGAGAUGGGCGACUUCUCUGCUCCCACAGAGAUAACCCCUGACACUCUUCCUCCUGCUCCGGCAAAUUUUAUUGAAGCCAACAAGAGACCCUUAUCUUCCAUGACACCCAUCGUUGUUACCAAGAAUGAUCAGCUGGUAGGGGUCUUAGGAGGUAGUGGAGGAAUGGACAUCAUUCCAGCAGUA
Molecule: unclassified non-coding RNA, 442 nt
Filed under: Hevea brasiliensis (rubber tree)
Lineage: Eukaryota; Viridiplantae; Streptophyta; Magnoliopsida; Malpighiales; Euphorbiaceae
Source: RNAcentral